This 430-nucleotide ribosomal RNA is filed under the name uncultured bacterium. Its description in RNAcentral is "bacterial SSU rRNA". It matches the Rfam family "Bacterial small subunit ribosomal RNA", at positions 355 to 776 of the family's 1533-position model. The record is from RNAcentral.
UGGGGAAUUUUGCGCAAUGGGGGAAACCCUGACGCAGCAACGCCGCGUGAGUGAUGAAGGCCUUCGGGUCGUAAAGCUCUUUUAGUGGGGAAGAAUCCCACCCGGGUUAAUACCUCGGGUGUCUGACGGUACCCACAGAAAAAGUUCCGGCUAACUACGUGCCAGCAGCCGCGGUAAUACGUAGGGAGCAAGCGUUGUUCGGAAUUAUUGGGCGUAAAGAGCGCGUAGGCGGUUCGGUAAGUCUGACGUGAAAUCCCAGAGCUUAACUCUGGAACUGCGUUGGAUACUGCCGAGCUUGAGUGUGGGAGAGGUGAGUGGAAUUCCCAGUGUAGAGGUGAAAUUCGUAGAUAUUGGGAGGAACACCCGUGGCGAAGGCGGCUCACUGGACCACAACUGACGCUGAGGCGCGAAAGCUAGGGUAGCAAACGGG